AACACAUGCAAGUCGAACGAUGAAAGAGAAUCCGAUCUCUUCGGAGUGAAGAAUCUCUGGAUUAGUGGCGGACGGGUGAGUAACGCGUGAGCAAUCUGCCUUACACAAAGGGAUAGCCUCGGGAAACCGGGAUUAAUACCAUAUGAUAUCUAUUAACCGUAUGGCCUAUAGAUUAAAGAAUUUCGGUGUAAGAUGAGCUCGCGUCCCAUUAAUUAGUUGGUGAGGGUAACGGCCCACCAAGAUAGCGAUGGGUAGCCGAUCUAAGAGGAUGACCGGCCACAUUGGAACUGAGAAACGGUCCAAACUCCUACGGGAGGCAGCAGUGGGGAAUAUUGCACAAUGGGGGAAACCCUGAUGCAGCGACGCCGCGUGAGCGAUGAAGGCUUUCGAGUCGUAAAGCUCUGUCCUAUGGGAAGAUAAUGACGGUACCAUAGAAGAAAGCCCCGGCUAAUUACGUGCCAGCCGCCGCGGUAA
This 474-nucleotide ribosomal RNA is filed under the name uncultured Eubacteriales bacterium. Its description in RNAcentral is "bacterial SSU rRNA". It matches the Rfam family "Bacterial small subunit ribosomal RNA", at positions 50 to 523 of the family's 1533-position model. The record is from RNAcentral. Lineage: Bacteria; Bacillati; Bacillota; Clostridia; Eubacteriales.